Long non-coding RNA from Sphaeramia orbicularis (orbiculate cardinalfish), 91 nucleotides. RefSeq lists it as uncharacterized. NCBI's taxonomy places the organism in Eukaryota, Metazoa, Chordata, Actinopteri, Kurtiformes, Apogonidae. The transcript has 3 exons. The record is from RefSeq and is a predicted model, not a curated record.
GGUUGUGAAAUCACAAAUUACCAGCAAAAAUGAUCAAACUGUUGAGUGUUGCUGUUAUUGCUGGAUUCCUUUCUGUGGAACCAGCUGAUGG